RNAcentral lists this ribosomal RNA (429 nucleotides) under Acidobacteriota bacterium. RNAcentral's name for it is "Acidobacteria bacterium partial 16S ribosomal RNA". It matches the Rfam family "Bacterial small subunit ribosomal RNA", at positions 355 to 776 of the family's 1533-position model. Lineage: Bacteria; Pseudomonadati; Acidobacteriota. The record is from RNAcentral.
UGGGGAAUUUUGGACAAUGGGGGAAACCCUGAUCCAGCCAUCCCGCGUGUGCGAUGAAGGCCUUCGGGUUGUAAAGCACUUUUGGCAGGAAAGAAACGUCAUGGGUUAAUACCCCGUGAAACUGACGGUACCUGCAGAAUAAGCACCGGCUAACUACGUGCCAGCAGCCGCGGUAAUACGUAGGGUGCAAGCGUUAAUCGGAAUUACUGGGCGUAAAGCGUGCGCAGGCGGUUCGGAAAGAAAGAUGUGAAAUCCCAGAGCUCAACUUUGGAACUGCAUUUUUAACUACCGGGCUAGAGUGUGUCAGAGGGAGGUGGAAUUCCGCGUGUAGCAGUGAAAUGCGUAGAUAUGCGGAGGAACACCGAUGGCGAAGGCAGCCUCCUGGGAUAACACUGACGCUCAUGCACGAAAGCGUGGGGAGCAAACAGG